Molecule: non-coding RNA, 128 nt
Filed under: Boseongicola aestuarii
Lineage: Bacteria; Pseudomonadati; Pseudomonadota; Alphaproteobacteria; Rhodobacterales; Paracoccaceae
Description: Ruegeria cis8 sRNA
Rfam family: Ruegeria cis8 sRNA
About the family: Cis-encoded. Targets hypothetical protein.
Source: Rfam by way of RNAcentral
ACCGACAAGACUUUGGCGAUAUAGGGGAUCAGCGGCAGGUUGAGGAUCAACAGCACCAGAUUGCCGAUGAACAUGGACAUGAUCACGGCCCAGAAAAUCUGCGGGUCGUCGAUCAUCAGGCGCGGACC